Long non-coding RNA from Sarcophilus harrisii (Tasmanian devil), 3231 nucleotides. Lineage: Eukaryota; Metazoa; Chordata; Mammalia; Dasyuromorphia; Dasyuridae. The record is from Ensembl.
UUUCUGUUCCUCCAGCUCCAUGUUGGGGUUUCCCCCAAAAGUCAGGGGUUCCCCCGAGAGUCGGGUUGUGUUUAAUGCUGUCCCUCCAGCUCCAUGUUGGGGUUCCCCCCCAAAGUCAGGGGUUAUUUUUAAUGCUGUCCCUCCAGCUCCAUGUUGGGGUUCCCCCCCAGAGUCAGGGGUUGUUUAAUGCUGUCCCUCCAGCUCCAUAUUGGGGUUCCCCCCCAGAGUCAGGGGUUCCCCCGAGAGUCAGGGUUGUUUUAAUGCUGUCCCUCCAGCUCCAUGUUGGGGUUCCCCCCCAGAGUCAGGGGUUCCCCCGAGUCAGGGGUUGUUUAAUGCUGUCCCUCCAGCUCCAUGUUGGGGUUCCCCCCCAGAGUCAGGGGUUCCCCCGAGAGUCAGGGGUUAUUUUUAAUGCUGUCCCUCCAGCUCCAUGUUGGGGUUCCCCCCCAGAGUCAGGGGUUCCCCCGAGUCAGGGGUUGUUUAAUGCUGUCCCUCCAGCUCCAUGUUGGGGUUCCCCCCCAGAGUCAGGGGUUGUGUUUAAUGCUGUCCCUCCAGCUCUCCAUGUUAGGCUUGUAGACCGGGGGCCUCUUCCUGGGUCGCUGCUGGUGCUUCACUGUCUUUGGGGAAUCGGGCCCGCUCUGUGGCCGCGUGGUUCCAUCAUGGAGUCGAGCCUUUCCACCUUGUUCACAAGCGCAGCACGAGGAGCCUCCGACAAGGCCAGCCCGGCUCCCGACGCGCUUCUCUCUCUAGCACGGGGGGUUCGAGGCCUUCUCGCGGAUAAGCUUUGGAAUAUUCUCAGAAACCCGCGAACUUUGGUACUUUCAUUUUCUUGCUGAGGCAAUUGGGGCUAAGGGACUCGCCCCGCGGCGGGAGCGCUAAGUGUCUGAGGCCAGAUUUGAGCUCGGGUCCCGCGGCUUCCCCGCCCCCCCCAUCCGCCGCCGGGAGGCCUCUCCCUCAGCCCCCCGGGAUUUCCGCCGGAGGCCGCUGCCCCUGCCCGUGACCUCGCGAGACCUCCCGGGACCCGCCGCCGCCUCCGCGGGGAUCCCGCCGCCGCCUCCGGGGCCCGCUCAGCGUUAACGGGCCCAGUUCUCCGCGUUCCACGUCGUUAAGGGAGCGGGGGCGCCCCCUGCUGGGGGAGGGCGGCUAUGCGCGCAGCAUGGCCCACGUAGCCAGUGGGUCCCUCGGGGCCGCCUUUCUGGCCGCUCCCCGGCGCGGGGGCCACGGGCAGGGCGCACGAGGCAGGCCCCCGUAACGGCCACAGGGACGCCGCCAUUCCCGGGCCAGAGCGGAGCAGGAGCAGACGUCGGAACGGGGGCUGUCGGGAAAAAGCCUGCGCCAGGGUUCUCAGCGCGCUGCAGGAAGCCGAGGUUCCCAGAGGCCGGGGUAGGAGGAGGGCGGGGCCGCAAACGGCCGGCGGAGCGAGCCGGGAUAGGCCGCAAGCCCGACUCCGCAGGGGCGAAUUGUCCGGAGGCGUCGCGGGGCGUCCGUUUGCGCGCAGGGGGGGCCGUGACGCUGCCCCCGUGGCGGCGGGCGGGGGCGGCCUUCCCUGCCAGCGCUCCCCGCUACUUCUCCGGGUCCCGACGUCCCGCCGCCGCCGCCGCCGCCGCCUUCUUCCAGUCUUUUAGAUGAGAUACAAUAAACGAGCUCACACCUGGGAGCACCGCGUGUGCGGGAUCACCGUGUGAUCGCUUCCAACCCCCUCCCCCACACACACCGACCCCACCAGCCGAUGCCGCUCCCGGCCUUUCCCCAGACGUUCUGCGCCUUCCUCAGACCGCUUAGCCCCCUCCCCCCCUUGUGCUUCCGGGGUCACCUCUGCUGCGCUUACAUGGGAGGCAUUUCCCUCCGGGUGGGAGACGCAGGCCCCGCCCCGCCGGCGGAGCCGCUUUCAUUAAAGGGAGGAGCUGUCGCCGCAGGCCCCGCCCAGGCGCUGACUGACGGGCAGCACCUCCCUUGGGCCCCGGCGGCCAGCGGGCCACGCAUCCAGGCCGGCAGCCGAGCCCCGUCUGCGGCCUUGCUCACGAAUCCUUUUUGUUUCAUCGCGUACAGACUCCGUCUCUGCCGGGGGCUGCAACGGGCCUGUGUCCCAAAGAGGCCGCGCGGGGGCGCAAGGGUGUCAGCGGGGGGGGAGGGGGGGGCGGAUGGCGCGCGGUGGGAGCGCGGUGGGAGCUUGUUCUGUGAGACGGGACCGGCGGGAGGCGGUGCUGAGGGAGGGGGCGGGGCCGGGAGGGCCCCCGCGGGGCUCUGCCACCAGGAGGCGACGUAGUUUCACCACCUCGCGCCGGGAGAGACGGGACUGAGGCGGCUCCCUACAAGCCGUUCCCGCCUUCCCGGCGGCCGCUCGCGCUUGUUUCUUUCUCAUCGCCCUUUAGAGCUGCUUUUUCUCGUGGGGCGAGGUCGCGGCGCCGACGCGUGUGCGCGCGCUGCGUGUUUUACCUGCCACGGGGGGGGGUCGUUUCGGCCUGGACCGGAAAGGGGAGGGGGGGAGGGGAGAAGAGGGAGAGGAGGGAGAGGGGGGAGGAGGGAGAGGGGGGAGGGGAACCUUGGAACGCAAGGUCUUGUAAGAGUCAGUGCUGGAAACUUGCCCGGAUGUUCCGAAAACGCAAAACUGACAAGAAAAGCAACGCGAAGACUCCUUAGAGCGCAAGGAGCCCACCGAGGGGUGUGGCCGGUGCUCUCGUUCUCUUUUCUUGCGGUUCCAGCUUUUAAAGCCAUCUCACCGCCCGGAUAGUGGGAGGGGCCGUUUUCGCAGCUUCGCCGCCACGGGGGCUUCUCGUUUCUACCUCUGGCUUCUUGAUGCCCGGAUACGGGUCAUCAAACUGCUCUGGAACUGAUUUUGCGGCACGGAGCCUCUGGCGCCCGGUGCCCUCCUCAUGCAAGAAGGACUGAGCUCUGAGAGCGAAGCAGAAGAAAAAUGGCUCAAAAGAAAGGUCGGGUGCGCGCAUUGAGCUGGUGCAGCCCAGGUGUGAACACGGACACACGGAAUGUGUGCCUGGCCCGGAGCAGAACCUUUUUUUGUCGUCGGUGACUUACAAUCAAUGUCUAAUGUACAGCGUGACAAUGUCUCCCUCCCCGCCCCUUUUUGAAAAGUAAUUGUAACUUUUUAUGGACAGAGCCCAUGCCGGGGUAGUGCUUCACACCGUUGUCCCUUGCACUCGCUUCUGUUCCGCCUCCCCCCUCCUCCCUCUCUCCCUCUCCCCGCCCCCCUCCCUCCCUCUCCCCUCCCUCCUCCUC